UACGUAGGGGGCAAGCGUUGUCCGGAAUCAUUGGGCGUAAAGAGCGUGUAGGCGGCCCGGUAAGUCCGCCGUGAAAGUCCAGGGCUCAACCCUGGGAUGCCGUCGAUACUUCUGGGCUGGAGCACUGUAGAGGCAGGUGGAAUUCCGGGUGUAGCGGUGGAAUGCGUAGAGAUCCGGAAGAACACCGGUGGCGAAGGCGGCCUGCUGGGCAGUUGCUGACACUGAGGCGCGACAGCGUGGGGAGCAAACAGG
RNAcentral lists this ribosomal RNA (252 nucleotides) under uncultured bacterium. Its description in RNAcentral is "partial 16S ribosomal RNA". It matches the Rfam family "Bacterial small subunit ribosomal RNA", at positions 524 to 776 of the family's 1533-position model. The record is from RNAcentral.